GACGAACGCUGGCGGCGCGCCUAACACAUGCAAGUCGAACGAGCGAGAGAGAGCUUGCUUUCUCAAGCGAGUGGCGAACGGGUGAGUAACGCGUGAGGAACCUGCCUCAAAGAGGGGACAACAGUUGGAAACGACUGCUAAUACCGCAUAAGCCCACGGUCGGCAUCGACCAGAGGGAAAGGAGCAAUCCGCUUUGAGAUGGCCUCGCGUCCGAUUAGCUAGUUGGUGAGGUAAUGGCCCACCAAGGCGACGAUCGGUAGCCGGACUGAGAGGUUGAACGGCCACAUUGGGACGUGAGACACGGCCCAGA
RNAcentral lists this ribosomal RNA (310 nucleotides) under uncultured bacterium. RNAcentral's name for it is "bacterial SSU rRNA". It matches the Rfam family "Bacterial small subunit ribosomal RNA", at positions 28 to 335 of the family's 1533-position model. The record is from RNAcentral.